This 198-nucleotide ribosomal RNA is filed under the name uncultured bacterium. RNAcentral describes it as "partial 16S ribosomal RNA". It matches the Rfam family "Bacterial small subunit ribosomal RNA", at positions 328 to 539 of the family's 1533-position model. The record is from RNAcentral.
ACGCUCGACACCUACGGGAGGUAGCAGUCGGGAAUAUUGCGCAAUGGAGGAAACUCUGACGCAGUGACGCCGCGUAUAGGAAGAAGGUUUUCGGAUUGUAAACUAUUGUCGUUAGGGAAGAAAAGGACAGUACCUAAGGAGGAAGCUCCGGCUAACUACGUGCCAGCAGCCGCGGUAAUCUGAGCGGGCUGGCAAGGC